CCUGAGAAACCCAAAAGAUCGAAUGGGGAGAUUCAUCGUCAGCUCAUUUUGUAUAUAUGCAAGUUGUGAUAUGGGUUACUACUUGUAGUAUUGCCUGUACAUUCUUGUAUAUUUAUUUGCAAGAUGUUGUCGGCGUGCACUUCUCCCCUAGUAGGACAUCGCGACCCGUUGAUUAUCAAUCUAUGGCCCAAGUGGAAGCUUUUAAUAAAUUUUAUUUAUUGAAAACCCUUGGUGUUUCCUGAUUGUCAAUCGUCGGUAUUCGUAUGGUAUUGAGCCGCAAUUUAUAUGCGUCUAUAUCCAUCACAAGCCAGAUUAAUUAUUGAUAGUACGGACUUAGUGCCGUCGUUGGUAUUAAUCAGCUGUUGGUUGUAUGGAAUUCUAAGACUGGCUCUUAUAUUAUCGGUCAGCGAUGCUACUGCUUUGGGUACUUUCAGGACCCGUCUUGAAACACGGACCAAGGAGUCUAACAUGUACGCAAGUCAUUGGGAUUUUUAUAAAUUAAACCUAAAGGCGUAAUGAAAGUAAAGGUCAAUCUUGUAUUGACUAAAGGAAGAUAAAUUGUAUUUACGAAAACAAUUUCGCAUUCCUGGGGCGNCUCAUUCUCAUUAUGAGAAGAGGCGCACCUAG
This 627-nucleotide ribosomal RNA is filed under the name Africadesha sp. Its description in RNAcentral is "partial 28S ribosomal RNA". It matches the Rfam family "Eukaryotic large subunit ribosomal RNA", at positions 386 to 798 of the family's 3401-position model. The record is from RNAcentral. Lineage: Eukaryota; Metazoa; Arthropoda; Insecta; Hymenoptera; Braconidae.